RNAcentral lists this long non-coding RNA (1352 nucleotides) under Homo sapiens (human). RNAcentral's name for it is "long intergenic non-protein coding RNA 905". The record is from RNAcentral. Lineage: Eukaryota; Metazoa; Chordata; Mammalia; Primates; Hominidae.
UAAGGACCUGGCCAGUCAGAAUCUCGUCAGUUAAGGACCUGGUCAGUUGGGUCCAGUCAGUGGGGGCCUGGUCAGUGGAGACCUAGGCCAUCAGUGGGUCCUGGAUAGUGAGGCCUGGUCAUUGGGGUCCUGGUGCUGCAUCUGUGAUCUCAAGUCUCUACUGGAAUUGGAUAGAGAUGGUGAAUUUCAGCCAGAGCGCCCAAAGAACUCGUGUCCCGCGCUCCUGAACGCCAUCAGCCGCCGCACCUCCAUCUUCCCUCCUCCCACGAGUCUCCUGCUCCCCGUGACUCUGGCCUCCUCGCAGUGUUGCUGGGCCACGUCAGGAAGUGCUGGAGGACGUGGCAUUGCACCAACACCAGGCGGCCAGCCGUGUGGCUCAUCCCGCAAAUCAGGCUCUUCCUGUGCAUGGAGAUGGAGUCCCUCUGGAGGCAGCCCGUGGCCCUGUUCUCGGGCAGGUGGAGCAUGGAGACGACUGGGAACUUCACUAGACACGCAUCCAGCCGGUUCAAGGGCUUGUCGCGCCGUGCACCAGCUUGCAGGAGAAAGCCCAACGCCUCGCCAAGCACGAAGGCCUCCCUUCCCGACUUGAUGAAGGCAGAGUAGCGGUUGAGGUUGCGGCUCACAGUGACCGAGCUCCUGCCCACGUGGGGACCCAGGGAGCCGUCGAGCUCCAGCCCAGGCUUGGACCUGAAGAAGCUGGCAACCCGCGAACGCCAACAGGCACAGUCGAAAAAAGCAAAAGAAAAAUCCCAAACAAAAUCCUGUUCUCCCUAGCCAAAGGACCAGGAGAGGGGGCAGCCCAGCAAGACAAAACACAUUUACACAAUUCUGGCUAACCUCAGCCAGUCCUUGGCCGUGAGUUCGUUUUUCUGCCACCUCACUUUGGGGCUGGGCUGGUUCUCCACCCUCGCAGGGUGCGUUUCUCAAUCCAGACGCUGGGGGGCGCUAGUACCUCGCGAGCUCCGCGAGGAUCAUUCCCGGGACGCCGCGGAGUCACCUCCCCUCCUAGGGACCCAGAGCUUCCCAGGGCCGCGCCUGUAGGUUUUCCAGAGGUCCCCGAAAACGUUAAAGACCUGGAAGGAAAAAAAAACUGUAAAACCACACACUUUGAUAUUUGACAACGUAAAAGCAAGGCUGCAAAAUCAAAAUCAAUGAACGCUUGAAGGAAAUGUCUACUUAGCUAGACAUAGUGCCACCUGGAUUCACUGUUGGCUCCAGAAUCCCCCCCACGGUGUCAUCACGUUGGAAAGUUUUUGUGGGUUAGAUGUUCUCUGUUGGCAAGAAUGCCUGUACAUGCCCAAGAAGCAUAUGAGUUUAAUGGGACCCCAAUAACUUCAAAAGCAAAAAGAUAA